UGGGGAAUAUUGGACAAUGGGCGAAAGCCUGAUCCAGCCAUGCCGCGUGUGUGAAGAAGGUCUUCGGAUUGUAAAGCACUUUAAGUUGGGAGGAAGGGCAUUAACCUAAUACGUUAGUGUUUUGACGUUACCGACAGAAUAAGCACCGGCUAACUCUGUGCCAGCAGCCGCGGUAAUACAGAGGGUGCAAGCGUUAAUCGGAAAUACUGGGCGUAAAGCGCGCGUAGGUGGUUUGUUAAGUUGGAUGUGAAAGCCCCGGGCUCAACCUGGGAACUGCAUCCAAAACUGGCAAGCUAGAGUACGGUAGAGGGUGGUGGAAUUUCCUGUGUAGCGGUGAAAUGCGUAGAUAUAGGAAGGAACACCAGUGGCGAAGGCGACCACCUGGACUGAUACUGACACUGAGGUGCGAAAGCGUGGGGAGCAAACA
This 427-nucleotide ribosomal RNA is filed under the name uncultured bacterium. Its description in RNAcentral is "partial 16S ribosomal RNA". It matches the Rfam family "Bacterial small subunit ribosomal RNA", at positions 355 to 774 of the family's 1533-position model. The record is from RNAcentral.